UGAACAAGCAUCAUUUGAGAGUGUAAGAUUUAAGCUGUGCGCUGACCGGCAGAUCCUGGAGCUGGAGGCCCCUGUACGAUGGCUAGCUACUUCUACAGAGUUUUUCCCUUGCUGGAGUCAAGCUUGCCACAUGGUCCUGUCCACAAUGGGCAGCUCCUGCACAAGACAAAUCCAUCACCUCGCUUGUUCAUUUUGCUUCCUCUUUCUGGAAGUUGAACAGGUUGGCUGGUAGGAACAAACAACCUUGCAUUGAGAGCACCUAUAGAAGUCUCUGUUGCAAAGAAGUGCAGUUCCCGCUCAGCCUCUCUUUUCCAGGAUGGAGAAUGAGUAGAAAAUCUUAACAACUCAAGGGCUCCCAAGACUUGGAAAAAACUCUGAAUCAUUUCUUUCUUGUCAUUGCUUCAUGCUUCACUUCUUUGGGCAAUGCUAUGAAAGCACAUUGUUCACUGUUCUGGUAAUGUUAAAAUGACCCAUAAUAUGAUAUUGGAAAAUCACCAAAUUAUUUCACAGGUGAAUGGAAUGUUAAAGUUGCAAGCCAAGACAUUUAGUUAAAUGUACUUUUUCAUCCUGUUUGAUGCUUUUAGUAUAAUUAAUCUUGUAUAGUUAUAAAGACAAAGUUGCAUUUUUUCCAAAGAUCUUCAUGCUCCUUUCAGUUUGUCAAGAGUAAGUCUUAGAAAACCAUCUUUUAAAAGUGAUGUUGCUUUAAAUUGUUUCACUAGGUCUAAUUUUUCAAUGUCAUCUUUUGUUU
This is a long non-coding RNA of Enhydra lutris kenyoni (northern sea otter), 748 nucleotides long. RefSeq lists it as uncharacterized. NCBI's taxonomy places the organism in Eukaryota, Metazoa, Chordata, Mammalia, Carnivora, Mustelidae. The record is from RefSeq and is a predicted model, not a curated record. The transcript is spliced from 3 exons.